GACGAACGCUGGCGGCGUGCUUAACACAUGCAAGUCGAACGGAAAGGCCCUGCUUUUGUGGGGUGCUCGAGUGGCGAACGGGUGAGUAACACGUGAGUAACCUGCCCUUGACUUUGGGAUAACUUCAGGAAACUGGGGCUAAUACCGGAUAGGAGCUCCUGCUGCAUGGUGGGGGUUGGAAAGUUUCGGCGGUUGGGGAUGGACUCGCGGCUUAUCAGCUUGUUGGUGGGGUAGCGGCUUACCAAGGCUUCGACGGGUAGCCGGCCUGAGAGGGUGACCGGCCACACUGGGAAUGAGACAAGGCCCAGACUCCUACGGGAGGCAGCAGUGGGGAAUAUUGCACAAGGGGCGAAAGCCUGAUGCAGCAACGCCGCGUGAGGGACGACGGCCUGCGGGUUGUAAACCUCUUUGAGCAGGGAAGAAGCGAAAGUGACGGUACCUGCAGAAAAAGCGCCGGCUAACGACGUG
RNAcentral lists this ribosomal RNA (468 nucleotides) under uncultured bacterium. RNAcentral describes it as "partial 16S ribosomal RNA". It matches the Rfam family "Bacterial small subunit ribosomal RNA", at positions 28 to 507 of the family's 1533-position model. The record is from RNAcentral.